UCCCGGAGCAGGGCAAUGGGAUGCCCGGCCACCGGGUCAGGCCUUAACGGGAGCAGCCCCGCCGGAUCCGUCUCAUGUGCGCUGCUCCGUUUUUC
RNAcentral lists this signal recognition particle RNA (95 nucleotides) under Planctomycetota bacterium. RNAcentral describes it as "signal recognition particle sRNA small type". It matches the Rfam family "Bacterial small signal recognition particle RNA". From Rfam's summary of the family: The signal recognition particle (SRP) is a universally conserved ribonucleoprotein involved in the co-translational targeting of proteins to membranes. Archaeal SRP consists of a 7S RNA and homologues of the eukaryotic SRP19 and SRP54 proteins. Lineage: Bacteria; Pseudomonadati; Planctomycetota. The record is from RNAcentral.